UACGUAGGGUCCGAGCGUUGUCCGGAAUUAUUGGGCGUAAAGGGCUCGUAGGCGGUUUGUCACGUCGGGAGUGAAAACUCAGGGCUCAACCCUGAGCGUGCUUCCGAUACGGGCAGACUAGAGGUAUGCAGGGGAGAACGGAAUUCCUGGUGUAGCGGUGGAAUGCGCAGAUAUCAGGAGGAACACCAGUGGCGAAGGCGGGUCUCUGGGCCGAUAUCGUGCGCUGAGGAGCGAAAGCGUGGGGAGCGAACAGG
Molecule: ribosomal RNA, 254 nt
Filed under: uncultured bacterium
Lineage: Bacteria
Description: partial 16S ribosomal RNA
Rfam family: Bacterial small subunit ribosomal RNA
Source: RNAcentral